GACGAACGCUGGCGGCGUGCUUAACACAUGCAAGUCGAACGGAAAGGCCCCCUUGUGGGGUACUCGAGUGGCGAACGGGUGAGUAACACGUGAGUAACCUACCCUUGACUUUGGGAUAACUUCAGGAAACUGGGGCUAAUACCGGAUAGGAGCUCCUGCUGCAUGGUGGGGGUUGGAAAGUUUCGGCGGUUGGGGAUGGACUCGCGGCUUAUCAGCUUGUUGGUGGGGUAGUGGCUCACCAAGGCUUUGACGGGUAGCCGGCCUGAGAGGGUGACCGGCCACAUUGGGACUGAGAUACGGCCCAGACUCCUACGGGAGGCAGCAAUGGGGAAUAUUGCACAAUGGGCGGAAGCCUGAUGCAGCAACGCCGCGUGCGGGAUGACGGCCUUCGGGUUGUAAACCGCUUUCGCCUGUGACGAAGCGUGAGUGACGGUAAUGGGUAAAGAAGCACCGGCUAACUACGUG
Molecule: ribosomal RNA, 465 nt
Filed under: uncultured bacterium
Lineage: Bacteria
Description: partial 16S ribosomal RNA
Rfam family: Bacterial small subunit ribosomal RNA
Source: RNAcentral